This 249-nucleotide ribosomal RNA is filed under the name uncultured bacterium. RNAcentral's name for it is "partial 16S ribosomal RNA". It matches the Rfam family "Bacterial small subunit ribosomal RNA", at positions 87 to 334 of the family's 1533-position model. The record is from RNAcentral.
UGGAGUGAGUGGCGAACGGGUGAGUAACACGUGAGUAACCUGCCCCCUUCUUUGGGAUAACGCCCGGAAACGGGUGCUAAUACUGGAUAUUCACUGAUCUUCGCAUGGGGGUUGGUGGAAAGGUUUUUUCUGGUGGGGGAUGGGCUCGCGGCCUAUCAGCUUGUUGGUGGGGUGAUGGCCUACCAAGGCUUUGACGGGUAGCCGGCCUGAGAGGGUGACCGGUCACAUUGGGACUGAGAUACGGCCCAG